GGUUUUAUAGUCAAUGAUGACAUUAGAUUGCAAUUCUAAAGGAAUAAUUUAAAAGAUUAUUAAGACUU
Molecule: transfer RNA, 68 nt
Filed under: Eristalis tenax (drone fly)
Lineage: Eukaryota; Metazoa; Arthropoda; Insecta; Diptera; Syrphidae
Description: tRNA-Cys
Source: RNAcentral